CAGCAGCCGCGGGAAUACGAAGGGGGCUAGCGUUGCUCGGAAUGACUGGGCGUAAAGGGCGCGUAGGCGGAUUGCGCAGUCAGAUGUGAAAUUCCUGGGCUUAACCUGGGGGCUGCAUUUGAGACGCGUAGUCUAGAGUGUGAAAGAGGGUCGUGGAAUUCCCAGUGUAGAGGUGAAAUUCGUAGAUAUUGGGGAGAACACCGGUGGCGAAGGCGGCGACCUGGUUCAUAACUGACGCUGAGGCGCGAAAGCGUGGGGAGCAGACAGGAUUAGAUACCCCUGUAGUCCCUGUCUCUUAUAC
RNAcentral lists this ribosomal RNA (301 nucleotides) under uncultured bacterium. Its description in RNAcentral is "partial 16S ribosomal RNA". It matches the Rfam family "Bacterial small subunit ribosomal RNA", at positions 509 to 807 of the family's 1533-position model. The record is from RNAcentral.